AUUCACAUCUCUAACUCUACAGA
Molecule: non-coding RNA, 23 nt
Filed under: Rattus norvegicus (Norway rat)
Lineage: Eukaryota; Metazoa; Chordata; Mammalia; Rodentia; Muridae
Source: RNAcentral